GACGAACGCUGGCGGCGUGCUUAACACAUGCAAGUCGAACGAAGUGGCGAACGGGUGAGUAACGCGUAAUCAACCUGCCCUUCAGAGGGGGACAACAGUUGUAAACGACUGCUAAUACCGCAUACUGAAGGAGGGGAUUGCGUCUGAUUAGCUAGUUGGAGGGGUAACGGCCCACAAAGGCGAUGAUCAGUAGCCGGUCUGAGAGGAGGAACGGCCACAUUGGGACUGAGACACGGCCCAGACUCCUACGGGAGGCAGCAGUGGGGAAUCUUCCACAAUGGGCGCAAGCCUGAUGCAGCCAUGCCGCGUGUAUGAAGAAGGCCUUCGGGUUGUAAAGCUCUGUUAAUCGGGACGCGGUACCGGAAUAGAAAGCCACGGCUAACUACGUGCCAGCCGCCGCGGUAAUAC
Molecule: ribosomal RNA, 408 nt
Filed under: uncultured bacterium
Lineage: Bacteria
Description: partial 16S ribosomal RNA
Rfam family: Bacterial small subunit ribosomal RNA
Source: RNAcentral